RNAcentral lists this unclassified non-coding RNA (384 nucleotides) under Hevea brasiliensis (rubber tree). The record is from RNAcentral. Lineage: Eukaryota; Viridiplantae; Streptophyta; Magnoliopsida; Malpighiales; Euphorbiaceae.
GAUAAUAUUAGGUUAUGUAUCAUACUAUUAUAAUAUAUUUAUGGAAAAGUAUGAAUUAGUACUUUGUACUUUUGCGCAUUUUCAAUUUGUGGAUUAGACAAUUUCAUUACAAAUCAAGGAUUACAAAUCAAGGAUUAUAGCAUCGCGUUGUUAGCAAUCGAGGAAAAAUUGGGUAAUGUUGUUAAUUGCCCUGAUGUCGUGGCACAUUGAUGUUGAUGCCAUGCCAUCAGGGCACGUGCCAUGUCAUCGCCACACAAGCAAAUCCUUAAAUUACAAAAAAAUGUAGAAGUAUAAGUUUGUAAAUUGUAAAUAAAAUAAAGUUUUAGCCUGGAAUGUUAAAAGUAUAAAAGUUUCAAAACUAUGUGAAAAAAUUUAGGACAGGGA